UGGGGAAUAUUGGACAAUGGGCGCAAGCCUGAUCCAGCCAUGCCGCGUGAGUGAUGAAGGCCCUAGGGUUGUAAAGCUCUUUCACCGGUGAAGAUAAUGACGGUAACCGGAGAAGAAGCCCCGGCUAACUUCGUGCCAGCAGCCGCGGUGAUACGAAGGGGGCUAGCGUUGUUCGGAUUUACUGGGCGUAAAGCGCACGUAGGCGGACUAUUAAGUCAGGGGUGAAAUCCCGGGGCUCAACCCCGGAACUGCCUUUGAUACUGGUAGUCUUGAGUUCGAGAGAGGUGAGUGGAAUUCCGAGUGUAGAGGUGAAAUUCGUAGAUAUUCGGAGGAACACCAGUGGCGAAGGCGGCUCACUGGCUCGAUACUGACGCUGAGGUGCGAAAGCGUGGGGAGCAAACAGG
RNAcentral lists this ribosomal RNA (404 nucleotides) under Actinomycetes bacterium. RNAcentral's name for it is "Actinobacteria bacterium partial 16S ribosomal RNA". It matches the Rfam family "Bacterial small subunit ribosomal RNA", at positions 355 to 776 of the family's 1533-position model. Lineage: Bacteria; Bacillati; Actinomycetota; Actinomycetes. The record is from RNAcentral.